RNAcentral lists this long non-coding RNA (1361 nucleotides) under Lynx pardinus (Iberian lynx). Lineage: Eukaryota; Metazoa; Chordata; Mammalia; Carnivora; Felidae. The record is from RNAcentral.
CCCUUCCAUCUCAGAGUUGGGGAUUGCUUUGCGAAGUUUGACAGCCCAUUUCAUGGCCCUCUGUGAUCCCUCUUCUGGGCAAGGGGGAUGUCACAGUCUCUCUCCAGAGUGGGAUGGGACUUCCAGGGUACCUCAGAUCUGAUGGCCUGAAUGGGAGGAUCAAGGUCUUGGAGCAAGACAAUCUCAAUGCUCUGUGGGCUUGGGACCUGCAUCUGGUCCCAAGCAUCUGGAAAUGUGCACUUACCUUUCUUCAUUACCCAGACUUGGAUGACCUUGUAGGAGUUCAAGGGAUAGGUCAAGGGGGUCAGAGGGCUAGAUCCUUCUGUCACUUCCUUUAAAUUAUUAACUAUUUAUUACAUCCGGAACCUGUGAGAUUCAGCUCUCCCAACCAGACCCUGGGAUGGGUGAGAGAAUAGGGGGAUGUCCCUCCCAUCCCCACUCUGCCCAGCUCUCAUCACUGUCAGACCCACCAGAGCUGAGGGCGGAGGGACCGGGGGCUGGGGCAGCCUGGGUCCCCAUCCCCCUCUCUGUGCCUCGGUCUCCUCCCUUCCGUGGUGGGCGGGGGGAAGCUCCAUUCUUAACCUACCUCGUUUUGGGGAGGGGUGGGACGGGGACCAGAGUGCUGUAAGGUGCUGUGGGAUCUGCGGAUGAAGCGGUGGGAGCCGGGGAAGGUUCCCCCGGCCCCCACCUCCCAGCACCGCCUCUCCCAGGUCUCCCGGUCCUGCUCCCUGCUGAUACCCACCUCUGAUCCAUGAUUCCUCUUCAUCACCCCCAAAUCAGGGGUGCGUGGAGGGCUGACCCUGGGAGCCAGGAAGACCUCAGACCCUGGAGCCCCCAGGCCCAAUUUCCCAGCUGCCUGCCCCUCAGAUUGGAUGCUUGGCCCCCAGAUUUGGGGGAGGCACCCCGACAUUUAUCUUCCUGAUCUCGAUUCCAAGCCAGUCUGUGACCUCAAUAUUGUUAUCAGUGCAGGCUGCAGUGGUGGGGGAGGAUGGGGGCCAAAGACCCAGCCUUGUCAUUGGGGAGGGGGCAUGAAAUAUUCGCUCCAAGAAACGUCUGUGACAAAGUCUCAGCCUGUGUCCUUUAUUUGCAUUGACACACCCCAUCCAUCACCUUCCUGAACACCAAGCCAGUCUCCUACCCAAUUCAUCCUUUCUCCACUUUCUUUAGUCCCAGGCAGGCCCUCCGGCUGAGUUGCACACAUUUCAGUCACUCAGGUACAUUUACUGUACACCCAUUAUAUGCCAGGCCCUGUCCUAGGCACUGAGGAUGAAGCAGUGAACAGAACAGACAAAACCCCUUUCCCACAAGAAACUUCUGAACUUUAUCGUGGAGGAGACAGUAAAUGACAUGUUCGAAAUGAU